Molecule: ribosomal RNA, 330 nt
Filed under: uncultured bacterium
Lineage: Bacteria
Description: bacterial SSU rRNA
Rfam family: Bacterial small subunit ribosomal RNA
Source: RNAcentral
UCCGUAGGCGGUGCGGCAAGUCGGAAGUGAAAUCUCUGGGCUUAACCCAGAGGCUGCUUCCGAAACUGCCGUGCUAGAGUGCGAGAGAGGCGAGUGGAAUUGCGGGUGUAGCGGUGAAAUGCGUAGAUAUUCGCAGGAACAUCCGAGGCGAAAGCGGCUCGCUGGAUCGCAACUGACGCUGAGGGACGAAAGCUAGGGGAGCAAACAGGAUUAGAUACCCUGGUAGUCCUAGCCCUAAACCAUCAGGACUUGGGGUUUGCCCUGUACGGGGCAAGUCCCGUAGCUAACGCGUUAAGUCCUGCGCCUGGGGAGUACGGUCGCAAGGCUGAG